This 83-nucleotide small RNA is filed under the name Marmota monax (woodchuck). Lineage: Eukaryota; Metazoa; Chordata; Mammalia; Rodentia; Sciuridae. The record is from RNAcentral.
GCUGGGCAUGGUGGCGCAUGCCUGUAAUCCCAGUGGUUUGGGAGACUGAGACAGGAGAAUCGUGAGUUCAAAUCCAGCCUCAG